This is a non-coding RNA of Podarcis lilfordi (Lilford's wall lizard), 7329 nucleotides long. The record is from the annotation of a GenBank genome assembly. NCBI's taxonomy places the organism in Eukaryota, Metazoa, Chordata, Lepidosauria, Squamata, Lacertidae.
GGUGUGAGCCUAAGGCGGCGGCGGCGGCAACAGCAGCAGCAUUAACCUGGGCCAGGUUUCCCUUUGCCUUGUGUCCUACAGCUACGGUACCUCCACUCGGGGCUGGCACGCCAGUGAGAGCCUGGACUUUGGCCCUCACCGCUUCAGGAGCCCCCCAUGCCGACCCCUAUCUCGCUUGCUUCUAGGAGAGGCGGCUGCACUGGGCCCCCAUGCAGCGCCUCCAGGAGGCGACCAAGGUGACCUGGAAACUCAUGGCAGAGUUGGCAAGGUGCAAGGGGUCUUGGAUCCCUUACGUUUAUCUUUUAGAAAGGAGGCUGGAGAAGGCAAGGAAGGGGCCUGAGGCCUGGCAGAGUCUCAGAAGUUGCCAUGCGAUGAUUACACGAUGAAAGGUAAUCUUCCAAUUUUUUGAGUGGAAAAACAAGGUUGGACUAUUGUGCAGUGGCGACAAUUAUGUGGUGAAUUAUGGUAUUCAGAAUUUAAAACAUACAAUUAAUGAAUUUGGUAGUACUCACAUCAUAGUUGUUCACAUAGACCUGAAUAUGAAUUACUUUUUUUGACUUUUUUAUAUAGGCAUCCACUUUACUUUAUUGUUGAAAUAAUAAAUCUUUUGUUUCGAGGAAUAAAAUACGGUGUUUUACCAGAACACUGCUGGAACCAUUUUAUCUAAAUAAGAAAUGAAUUAACUUGUUUAAGUGUCCUUGAUUAUCUUCUAUUCCUAUAUAUAUUUCUCUUCUUAAGAACCUGUUUCUGUCAUAUACCUGCUAUGAACAACACAGAAGAAGGAAUCAAUGGCUUGCUUGGCAAAUACAGUUGUUGUUUUUUACUCCCCCCCCUUCAGUUAUUCAUUAUGGUAAUGGUACUUUGUGAUGUGCAAUUUCUGGAUUUAUGACCCAUUCUCGAUAAGCAGGAAUCCAGGCUGCAUGUGCAUCUUUGAUAAGGUUCUAAUUGGAUAGCAGUGACCUUUCUGAAUGUAAUUCUGGGUGGAAGAUUAAAAAGCAGUCCAGAAAGUGACAGGUUUGGGACAAUAACAUAUGAAUUCAGCUCUGCUGGCAGGCAAGAGAUGUAAGCCAUGAUAAAUUAGAGGCCGGCCAAACAGGCUUGCUGAAUGAUUGUUCAUUUCCAUUGCAUCCUGGGGUAAAAUCUACUGCACAAGUGGUGCCAACCAUGCCACAUUUUCACUCUUUAUGCAUUACUACUGAUUGCUAACACUGGGAAACUGUGAAGUUAAUGUCCUCUCACAGGGCACCAAUGGUCACAUACUAAAUUAGCAGCAUGUUCACCCAGAUGAUUCUUUCUAGGACAUUUGUAUAUUUACUUCACAUAUUAUGAACACAAUAUAAACAUCCCAGUGAUGACAGGGAAAACCUGUUUGCUGUCGUUUGUGUGGCUGCAAAUGAGAAAGAUCUUUAUCUUAAGGCAUUCCUGAUCUGAAACAUUAGUUAUCUCAAGGUUCUCGGAAUCCAUUUCUGCUUAUUCUAAAAAGUAUAUGAGAAUGGGUAAGGGUGGGUGUUGUCACCUAAAAAAGGUUGAUGGCAUCAGGUAACAGGUGGAAGUUCUAUCCAAAAUACAAAAUGAUUUGUAAUGCAGUAAUUUUAAUUGUAAAUUUAGCUAAGUGUGCUGAAGUUAAAAAGCGUAAAGUGUCUUACCACUCUCUUACUUCACAGCCCCACGUUAAUUUGGUAUUUUCUUCUUCUCACAAGAAAAGUGAGCAACAGUUGCAAUUGAUAAGAAAAAAGUAAAGCCAUGUCAAAUUGCAUUGUUAGGGCUGGCAAAACAGUCCUUAUAUCUUAGUAGACAGACAUCUAUAAUAUCUGAUUCUCAUUUAUACUUAGACCUGUUAGCAUUAUUCUGGCAUCAUUAAAUAGCUUUAAAUGGACUUAGGUGUAAUUUGUACUCCAUUUCAGUUUUCCAAGUACCACUGGAGCAGAGUAAAAGUGUUUAGGGUAAAUGAGAAUUGGGACCAUUAGCUAGACUCUAAAUACCAUAUAUGACAAUUAAAAGGUUGUAGUUCCCAGCAGUGCUCUUUCUUAGGUGACAAAAAUAUCAGAGUUAAAAGCUUUUUCCUGGUAGUGCUAGACAUGCUAGCUCUGAUGUGGCAAAUCCGAGAAGAUCAAAGGAAAAAGGAAUCAUUUUUUUGAGUAUCAUUUGAGUAAGCCAUACCUUCUUGUAAACUUCCCCCCUUCUACCUCUUUUAGCAUGAGAGAUUCAAAUAAAUAUUUCUAGCUUAACAAAAGCAUAAUUAAAAAGCAAAUGUUAUGAAUAUUUAUGGAUCAGUAUGUGGUUCAGGUAGUAGUUAAGCAAGUUGCUGACAUAGAUUUCUACUUUUCUGUAGAUUUGAAAUUAGCCCUUUAUGUUUCAUUAUAACAAUAAAUUUCUCAUCUUGAGAACAAAAUGGUAGAACUGAGUUGCUCUAUUUUAAAAUAAUAUCUACAGUGUUUUCAGUAUUUGUGAGAAGUUAUACAAUAUUUAUUUAUGCCCUAUGUCAAUUUGCAUAAUCAAAAUGAGCCCUAAUUGACUAUUUGUGAAUACUUAAAAACACACCAAGACAGUAACUUUGGUUAAAUAACGUUGGUUUUAAAAAAUAUCCCUGGCUGUUUUAUACUUGCCAAUUUUUUACAAAAAGACUUGCUCAGGAAAUGUACCUGUGGCCUGAUCAUUCUCAAGUUCAUGAGUGGAGGACAUCACACAUACAUUGUAUUACACAUUUUCUGCUUAUCUCUAAAUGUGUCUGUUCUACAGACUAAAAGUUAUUUGGUGAAACGCUGGGGUCAAACAUCAAUAAUAGCAGCAUAACCCUGUUUGCCUAAGGAUGGAUGAGCGAUGUUCCUUACCCCACCCCUUUUAUAUAGGAUCCAUAUAACAUCUGGUUAGACAAAAUCCUGGUUGCCUGCUGUUUGCUAAAUGCAGAUGGGGCAGGAAAGGCAAGUACUACUAAUCUUACUCAUUUAGUUAGUACAUCUAUGUUCCACUUUUCUUACAUCAUCAGACAUACAUGGGGUUCCCAGAGAGUAUUCUGUCCAGGCACUGACCAGAUCUUAGCUGCAACUAGUUGGUUACAAUACAUCAUGUACCCUCAUACCAUGUGCCUGGACAUUUUAAAAUGAGGAUAUAGAGAUUCUUUAACAAUUGUCGCUUAACAUAAUGAUUAUCUAUCUAGAAAGAAUUGUAUUGUGACAGAAAGUACAAUGGGUAUGAGAAAACUCUUGCUGCCAUGGAAAUAUUGGGGCUAGUUUUUAAUUUAUGGAGAAUUAGAAUCUAAGGAUCUCAAGAAGGUACUUCUCCAAAAGACACUUCUCAUUUUUACAGAGAAACCAAUUUUUUUCCACUUGACUAAUUUUUGUGUUGCACAUACAAACUGAAAUGAAUUCAGUGCUAGCCACUGGGCUGCCUGUGUAGCUUGACUGCCAGCGCUUUAUAAAGCGUUUACUGUAGACUUGCAUUUUUAUUGCAUGUGUUUUGAUUUUAUAAUUUUAUGACUGCAAUGGGGGGAAAAGGAUGCAGAGGAAAUGUGAUCAUAUACCCUUUCUUCAUGGAUGGAAAAAUAUUAUGUGCUGUUCAUUUAAGUAUAUUUUAUUAUUAUUAAAGCAUCUCAUUAUUCUACAACAGAGGUUUUAAAAUUGAGAAGAUGCAUCAUGCAAACACUUGUGUAUAUUAUUAUGAACUUCAUCUGGGUAGACUAAUCAUCUCCUUAUUUUCAAAGGAACAGAAGAAGUAGGGGUAAAUAUAUUAUGGUUGCAUGUAAUUUUCUGUGUAAGUUAUUAAUAAGAGAAACAAACUCGGUUGCAUCACGAGCUGUCUAUCCCAGUGCUUUAAUGUUCCAGGGUGGAAUGGACAGCAAUCCCUCCCCCGAUCUGCAAACUCCCAUGGGGCUGCAGUAUCGGGAGCCAGAAAAAUCAAAGAGCCACCUACUGACCCCACCUAUUGUCUGGCCUUGUCGUCUUCUAUCAGUGGCAUGCCACAAUCAGCAAGAUACAUGUGUACCUCAUGCUUGCUCAGGGUUUGGCAAACUCCUGUCCCUUGCACCUGUUUGCUUAUGCAUGAGCUGUGCAUGUUUGAAUCCAAAGAGCUAGGCAUGGGGUAGGGAGAAGGCAGAGAAAUCACUGUCAGCUCCUCAUUACCCCAUAAAGAGGAGGAAGAAUAGACUGAAGAGGCAAGAGAGAUCUUUGUAGAGCCCUUAAGUGUACUUUAAAAUGGGAAAAGAUGCGACUGUUAAUCAUGGUGUAUUAGUUAAUAAAUGAAGUGUAUGUGCUUUAAAAAAGAAUAUGUUGACUCUUCCUUGCUUACAUAUAAAACUUUCUUCUUAGAAGAUCCCAUAACUUCAGAUUGGAUUUCUAAGCACUUAACAUGCUGAGUCACCAUUGUUCUAUGAUUGAGUAAAGUGUGAAUCAGCAUGAGAAGAGGAUAGGGGAACAAAUCCAAUCUGAUUGAUCUAUAAAUUGUAUUUUAAUCCCACUUGGGGCAGCUUUAACAUUAACAAUGAGUGUAGUGUUUUGUUUUGACCUUGUGGAUAUUUUUAUAUGCGAAAGUUUCCUCAUGGAUACAAGCUAGCGGACCUUAGAGUUACAUCAUUAUUUGAGUGUCCUUAAAGUUGAGACAACAUUACCACACAUUAGAGAAGGAAAGCACACAGGAGAGGUUUCUAUUAAAGUGGAACAGGAGGGAGAAUGGAAAGGCAGGCUUGAGAACAAGUUUUUAAACUAUCACAUACCGAACUUUAUAACCGAGUUAUAAAAACUGUAACUUUAAUUGAUUUAAUCUCUGUUGUAACUUUUUCUAACCUUAUUGUGCAUUGCUUAGAGACUGCAGUGAUAUAUAAAUGGAUGUAAUAAAUAAUAUAAGGGUAAUGUAAUAAUAAAAGGGAAAACUUAAUGAGAGAAUAUGUAUUUAAAUCUAAACAUCGCAUAAAUCACUAUGAGUUUAAAAUGCCAUCUAUUAGCACUACAAGAUUAAUAAAGGAAUUAAAAGCUACAGGACUGAAAAUACAUUUUAAAAGACAAGUCAGUAGUUACAAACACAUUGGCUUCCUUCAUGGUUCAGCAAACUGUGAGUAAGUGUGGGGACCACAUGUUUCUUCCUCAGCCCUCCCCACCUCUCAUCACAUGCCAGCUUUGUGGCUGUAUUCUAUGGUUUCCAAUUGCACCCAAACAGAAAGCUCUGGCAAUGUCAGUUUACUAACCAGAAUAUUAAACCAUGUGCUGAUCUUGGUUUAAAAUGUUGUCUAGUAAACUGACAUUCAUCCAGAGUUCCUUCUUUCAAACAUAAUGGUCAAUUCUGUUGUUACACCACUGUUGAAGCUGAGAUGAGGUGGGAUGAGAACAUGUAAAGGAGGAUCAUGUAGCCAACAAUGGAAUGUUCACCCUACUCAAAGAUAAUUGCAGUGUGUGGGAAUAUUAAUUAGAAUUGUGGUUAGGGAGGGAAGGGUAAACACCCUUGCAUGCCUGUAGUUAGAGAAAGAAAAACCCCUGGUGUUCUUCCAAGCUACAGAUUUUGCCUAAUAUGCUACAGAUUUUGCCUAAUAUGUAUUGACACUAUGCUGUACUGUAAAUAGCUUAAUCUGCUCUAUGAUUUUAAAAAAGUCGUUAUUGAUGCUGAAGAUGUUAGAAAUGGAGAGAAGCAGAUUCUUCCACAGCUGUCAGCAUUUUCCUACCCCACACAAGUUGAACAAAUGAAUAGUCUUGAACAAAUGAAUAAUCUUGAAGUUACAAGCGUAGACAGAAAAAAUGCAUUCACAGGUUAGUCUAUGACUAAUUUUCUGUCAGCAACAUACUUAAUUAUUGAGAUGAGGAUAUGAAAUACAGUACCUUUAAGCAUUUCAGAUGUCUGGACUGAUUAUGUUUUAAGUUUUAUAAACAUUAUUUCACUUUCUUGCUUUCUUACAUCAUGCCAUAUCUCACAUUAUCUCAUAUUAUACUUACAUUCUACUGCAAAAAUAAAUGUCCAAAGAGGCAAAUAUUAUUUCUUAUAAUUAACUUUAUCUGGACAUGGUAUUGCAAUAUAUGUUUAAUCUAUUGUCAGAAUCACGCUUUUAUCAUUUCAGUUAUGGGGUUACACCAAAACCUUGCACCUGUUUAUUUACUUUUUUAGGACCCUGGAAGCAAAAUGCAUAUAUCAGAUGUUUGAAACACAAGUGUACCGUACAUGUCUUGCAAACCUUUUGUGCAGAUAGUAUUUAGUAUAGAUUAGCUAAAGUGCCUUUGGGGAUUAGCUUCUCUGCAGUUGCUGAGGAUAUCAACGUGCUGAGAAUACACAGAGAUGUUUUCACCACCUUCCAGCUGUAAAACAAUAAUUUUAUCAAGAGUCCAAUAGCAGUCACUGAGUGUGCAUAUAUUCCCACAGGUUAGUGCUAGCUUAUGUACCUUUCCAGAAUAUUUAUAUUUUUUUAACCAGUCAUCAGUCAUUCUAAACAUCCCUACCAUCCAAUGCAUAGCUUGAUCUUUCUUGUUAACCUAUAAUAUCCAAACUAUAUUAUAUGCUGGUGUAUAUACUACACAAACAUGCACAUACUACAUAAAAAGCAAGUUGAGAAUUUUUUUAAAGUAGUAUAAAGAUUAUAGGCUUGUUUACACUCAGUAGUGUUGCAAAGGCAAUCUGUACAAAACAUGCUGGUGACUGGUUUUCAUUUGAUUUUCUCCUUCCCCCUUCCUGACCUCUCUAUUUUGACUGCCAGUGCCCUUUCUAAUUCUCAGUUUACAUUUUCUGUAUUUUUUAUUAGUCUGAUACGUUUAACCAGGGGCAGAGCUGAUUUGCAAACUAGCUGGGAAGCAUAUUAAGCAAGGAAGAAGGAAAGGAAAGCGUUCAUCUUGGAUAAAAUUUCAAAAUUGAGGCUUUCUCACUCCCUUACAUUUUUUCCACUGCACUGGAUGUAUAAUUACCUCAUUGUUUCAAUAAUGUGCAAAAAUUAAAGGCAGUAAGAUGGGAAAAAAUGUAAAUAGGAAGACUUACUAUAAUGCUCUUCUAAAAUGAAGAAUUUAACUAAACCACUCUAAAGUCCCCUGCUGCGCUCAGGCGAGUUGAAAUUAAUUCAAGACGGCAGAUAAAAAUUUUAACCAGCCCGAGUGGAGAUGACGGAUGUGACAGCUCUCAGUUAAAAUGUCUUUUAGUGGCAAAUGCAUGCAUAUUAGUCAAGUGAUGUGACAUAACUGUCCUGGGUGAGAAAAGAUGAACCAAUGACCAUUUGCAUUGAGAACAAAAGAAAAUUCUUAAGAAUAAAACAGAAGCGGAAGGAGAAGAUAACUUGCCAUUCUAUAUAAUUUUGUCUGUCUCUGGCUUAAAGGAAUGUAAGUGACUGAACCUUUUAGUUUUCCCCCACCUCGUCUUGUGGAUGUAAUG